GGCAGAAAAAUAUCUGAGUUCCUACCAUGAAGAAGAGAACAUGCACAAAGCACAAAUGUGCUUGGUAUGGGUUGUGUGGUAUAGCUCAGUGGAGGCCCCUAGUUUCAAUUCCUAGCAUCCGAAAAAAAAAAGUGCCUGGUAUGAACAUUUGACUAGAUAAUCUCUACAACCCUCAUAGUGUUUAUGCCGCUGUGAUUAUUUCAUGCUUCAUCCCAGCUUUUUCCUUGAGAAGGUUAACAUCCUUCAGAUUUAAUCAUAUCUCAGAACAAAGAAUUCCUAGGAUUUUAAAAUGCCUUAGAAGUUACUAGUCCAGCUCUACCCUCACCAGGCUGCUAUCACUCCUAUCCAUUAAAUUUCUUUUACCAAUAGCACCGACAACAUUGUUGCUGACCUUCUGCUUGAAUUCCUUCUUGGUCCUUUGUUAAGGAAUUUGAACCAAGUCAGUGAACAAAUUUAAAUACAUUUUUUAAGAAAACUUUGAGAUGCUCGGGAUUGAACCUAAGGAUUCAUACAUAUUAAGCAUGCACUCUACCACUCAGCCCCACUAUUUAAAUUAUUGUACCAGUGAAAAUUUGAAGUCUUAUUGACUUGACUAUUUCAUCUUAGAAUUGAAUAUAGAAUACUGCUUUUGUUGGUUUUUGGACAGGUUUAAAAAACAAAACAAAACCUUAUUUGUGAAUUGAUAAAAGAAUUAUUGGACAGGCAGUCAAGCUCUGUUUUACCAGGAUAUCUUUCUUGGAAAACUCUUUGCAUGUGGUGAAGUAAAUUCAGAACAUACUGUAUUCUUUAAAAAAAAUUCUUCCUGUACAAUAAAGAAUCUGAAAGAACAGGAGAUGAGGAAAUAUAGCUAAGUGGUAGAAC
This 861-nucleotide long non-coding RNA is filed under the name Marmota monax (woodchuck). The record is from RNAcentral. Lineage: Eukaryota; Metazoa; Chordata; Mammalia; Rodentia; Sciuridae.